GCGCCCGUGGCUCAACGGAUAGAGCAUCGGACUUCUAAUCCGGUGGUUGCAGGUUCGAAUCCUGCCGGGCGCACCA
Molecule: transfer RNA, 76 nt
Filed under: Kosmotoga sp.
Lineage: Bacteria; Thermotogati; Thermotogota; Thermotogae; Kosmotogales; Kosmotogaceae
Also listed under: 1 other name
Description: tRNA-Arg
Rfam family: tRNA
About the family: Transfer RNA (tRNA) molecules are approximately 80 nucleotides in length.
Source: RNAcentral